GGGGACGAUUGGGUUCGACGGGAAUAGGCUGAAGUCGGGAAGCGAGUCGAGGAGUCUGAAACCUCGUAAAAAACGAAAAAACAUUGAAAUGCCGAAGAACCAGAAUUAGCAUUAGCUGCUGCGUAGACGGCGGCUCGUCUCUCCCCAAGUUUUCUUGGAACCUUGCUUGAGGAAUGAGGCGUCAGAAAAAGGUUCCACUUCUAAAAUCUCUUACCCGGGUUUUAGAAGUACCAACGGGUAAUAGGAAAUUGUGACUCGGUCCGCAAAGUCACAAUUUCCGAAAACUGAUUGCGGACUGCGCUCGGAGAAGCCGACUUCACCUAUUUUCGGACGCGGGUUCGAUUCCCGCCGUCUCCACC
Molecule: transfer-messenger RNA, 359 nt
Filed under: Petrotoga mobilis SJ95
Lineage: Bacteria; Thermotogati; Thermotogota; Thermotogae; Petrotogales; Petrotogaceae
Rfam family: transfer-messenger RNA
About the family: Bacterial tmRNA, also known as 10Sa RNA or SsrA, is named for its dual tRNA and mRNA-like properties.
Source: RNAcentral